Molecule: long non-coding RNA, 628 nt
Organism: Aegilops tauschii subsp. strangulata
Lineage: Eukaryota; Viridiplantae; Streptophyta; Magnoliopsida; Poales; Poaceae
Source: RefSeq, a predicted model, not a curated record
ACCCCACAAAAAAACUGGUAUUAAUUUGUUCUCAAAAAGUAGGAGCAUUUACGCCAUGUCCAUUAUAAAAGGCUCGCCAUUUCAUCUCUUCUCCCUCAAAAGUCACAACUCACCAUUCCGCCAACAACAAGACUACAAAUUCCUCUAUCAGUAUCAACACAUCAUCUAGCUAAAGAUGAGGGCCACCCUAACGCUGCUUCUACCUCUCGCAUUCCUCCUCCUCGUGCUAGCACCAGCUAAGGCGAGUUAUUAUGAUUGUACAAGCCAUAUCGUUGGGUGCAAGGACAAACCUGAGCCGCCUUGUCCGUGCGACCGUGCAGAGUGUAGCUUCGACAGCCGUGUAGCGUACGCUCAGCUUGGGUGCCCGAAAGAUGCGACCAGCUGCUCUUGGACAGGACAGUGCAUGAAUCAGGGGUGCAACUUCACCUACUGCGUAUAUAGAUGAGAUAGGCGGGCAUGUCAACCUGAUAGAAUAAUAAAGAUGAUAUCAUGGAUGGCAAUGCAGUAUGUAGUUCUGUUCGCUGCAAACUGAUGUACCUGACUGGUGAAUUAUUUACAUGCCUACCAUGGAUAUGUCUCGUUUUUCAUAUUAUCCCAAAAUAAAAAGUGUUUACUUUAGAGUCAAUUA